Molecule: ribosomal RNA, 1084 nt
Filed under: Microkayla sp. Khatu River
Lineage: Eukaryota; Metazoa; Chordata; Amphibia; Anura; Craugastoridae
Description: partial 16S ribosomal RNA
Rfam family: Bacterial large subunit ribosomal RNA
Source: RNAcentral
GCGAUAGCUGGUUACUCAAGAAAAGAAUUUUAGUUCUACUGAAAGUCCCCUCAAUUUUUAAAAAUAAACCUAAGGACUUUUAUGUUACCCAAGUAAGGUACAGCUUACUUGAGACAGGAUACAACCUCUACCACUGGGUAAGCAUUCUACAUGACAUAAAUCUGUAGGCCUAAAAGCAGCCAUCCCCUACAGCGUCAAAGCUUAUUUAUGUCCCAAAAUAAUAACUUGAUUUUCCCCGAGCCCCCCACCAGUACUGAGUAAUUUUAUGCCCACCAUAAAAUCUUCUAUGUUAAAACUAGUAACAAGAAGCUAGCCUUCUCUAAAAUGUAUGUGUAAGUCAGACCUGAACUCAGCACUGACCAUUAACAGCCUUAUACCAAAGAAGAAACUCUUCAAGCAAAAUCUUCUAUUUAACCUGUCAACCUAACACAAGCACAUCCCAAGAAAGAUUAAAAGAAAAUGAAGGAACUCGGCAAACCACGGCCCCGCCUGUUUACCAAAAACAUCGCCUCCUGAAAAAAUAUAAGAGGUCCAGCCUGCCCAGUGACUUGUUUAACGGCCGCGGUAUCCUAACCGUGCGAAGGUAGCGUAAUCACUUGUCUUUUAAAUAAAGNNUAGUAUGAAAGGCAUCACGAGGGCCAAACUGUCUCCUUUUUCUAAUCAGUAAAACUAAUCUUCCCGUGAAGAAGCGGGAAUUUCUCUAUAAGACGAGAAGACCCUAUGGAGCUUUAAACUGUAAGUUAUUCGCCUAUUUUCCCCCGAUUUCAGAAAUUUAAUACCCAAGGCCCAUUAACUAUACGUUUUAGGUUGGGGUGACCUAGGAGAAAAACAAACCCUCCUAGUUGAUACAGGCUAAACCCUGAGAAAAAAGCCACAACUUUACCACCAAUAAAUUGACAUCAAUUGACCCAGUCCGCUGAGCAACGAACCAAGUUACCCUAGGGAUAACAGCGCAAUCUACUUCAAGAGUCCCUAUCGACAAGUGGGUUUACGACCUCGAUGUUGGAUCAGGGUGUCCGAGUGGUGCAGCCGCUACUAAAGGUUCGUUUGUUCAACGAUUAAAACCCUACGUGAUCUGAGUUCA